UGCAUCUCAUUCAAUCUCAUUCACCGCCGCUUCUCUUCUCUUUGUGACCUAAAUUCUUCACCAUUUCUUCUCAUAUAUCCCUUGAAAUCAAUCUACAUCAGUUAGAUUAAAUUUGCAUCUCUCUUCUUCACACGCCAAAGAAACCCUAACUUGCAUCCUCUUCCUCUUCCCUUCAUUCAACUCGAGAAAACAUUGUCAAUACGCUACAUUCAAACUUCACCAACCCCAUUCGUCUCUAAAGUCUCACCGUCUCAUCAAUGUAAGACGAACAUCGACGGUGCCGGGAUACGAUAAUACUUAGGGUAACAAUUAAUCCAAGGUGGUUGAAAUUGCAAUUUCAAUACAAGUUUUGUGAGAAUACUCCAACAAGGUUGAUGAUCUAGGAAUUGUUUUCACCGAUCUGCAGUUACAUAUUCUUUUACAAGAUUCAAGUGGGUCCAUGUUUGCUUUCGUCCACUCAAUAUAGUGUUCCUCUUUGACCACCGAAAUCUCCUCUUAGUCACAUGUUGGUACACCAGGUACAUUUUUUCCCAAUUAUUGUUAGGUGAUGUGGCCGAUUAUUGUUAGGUGAUGUAGGAGCUGCAUAAGAACUUCUGAAUCUCUUUCUAUUAUGUCAUAAUUUAGUCAAGGUAAAUUCAUCAAAAUAAUAUGUAAAAGCUCAAUGCAUUAUAUGUAAAAGCUCAAUGCAUUAUAUGUAAAAGCAUAUGGGACAAAACAUUGAUGUAAUUCAAAAUAAUAUGGAUCGAGAUUGUUAUAUAACCCCAGAAGAAGCUAUAAGGAGCUUGGGAUCAUAGAAAAAUUGGGCAGUGAAGGCCGCCGUGGAUGUAUCUCUGAAGGUGCGCAUAAGGAAUUUGGCAUGUGUUAAUAGCAUAAUGGUUUUUAGACGUGAGAAUUCAAGAAAUGACUAUAGGUAUCCUGUGAAAGGAUGGCCAGACUUCAUGUGUUCAAAUGGUGUGUCAGUCGGUCAGACUUGCACUUUUGUUUUCCUCCAAGAAGGAAAGGUACAUUGGUCCUUACCAAAGUGAAUUAGCAUUGCCUCCUUUUACUGGUAGAGAGAAAUACUUUUUAAUCAAGUUUUUAGAUGCUACCUUUGUGAUUUUAAAUGCUACUUGUGUUACUUUUGAAUCGGAUAUUAGAUGCUACUUUGGGAUGGUUUUUGUUGGUUUAUAUGCUUGAUACCAAGUAGAAAUUAAAUGGAACAAACUUUAGUGGAAACCUGUGCUACUUUUGAAUAUAGAUAUAGUUUUUUAUAUGGUUAUUUGUACUCUGUAUAUUUGAAUUGCCAUACACAAUUUCUUUUUAUAUGCAUAUUAAAAUAAAAACUAUUAAAACAAGUAAAUAUAUUAAAUGGUAAACUUAGUUAAGGUAACAUUUUAACUUAUUUCAUCUUUUUGGUUAAUUUGUUUGACUGUAAAAAUACAUUUUUAGUCAAAACUAAUCAUUAACAUUAUUUAAGGUAAAUUUAAUAUCAAUUCGAAAGGUUUUAUCUUGAUUGGUUAUCUUUGUACAAUUCAAAGGUAUUGAUAAUAGCUUUGACAAAUUUAUAUAUAAUAAAUUGCUUAUGUUAUUCAGUAAUGUAUUGAAAUCUUAUGUACUUAUUUUCUUUAUCUAUUUAUUCUUAGGUCCAGAAAAUUGUUAUAGUUGGAACAAUUACCUGAAUAAAUACUGAUCAUUUAUUGUAUUAUAGUGGAUGCAGUCACUCCAGGUUCAAGGUUGAAAAACAAUUCAACACAUAUGAGCUAGAAAUGGGUCUUGUGAUGUUCUCGACAAGAAGGUUUAUGCAUGUAUGGGAAGCAUGUCUACCAAGUUACAAGCGAAUAGGUUUUGGGGUUAUUUGAUGAGAGGCGAGGAAUUGUCGAUUGGUUAUCUUUAUGUUUUUAAAUGUUCAAAGAGCCAAGGGAAGCUAUUGGU
This 1911-nucleotide long non-coding RNA is filed under the name Helianthus annuus (common sunflower). RNAcentral describes it as "hypothetical non coding rna". Lineage: Eukaryota; Viridiplantae; Streptophyta; Magnoliopsida; Asterales; Asteraceae. The record is from RNAcentral.